GAUGAACGCUGGCGGCGUGCUUAACACAUGCAAGUCGAACGAAGCACCUCUCCCGAAGAUUGACACAGCUUGCUGUAGAUUGAUUCAUUUGAGGUGACUGAGUGGCGGACGGGUGAGUAACGCGUGGGUAACCUGCCUCAUAGAGGGGGACAACAGUUGGAAACGACUGCUAAUACCGCCUAGUAAGAAGAAUUCGCAUGUUUUCUUCUUGAAAGAUUUAUCGCUAUGAGAUGGACCCGCGUCUGAUUAGCUAGUUGGUAAGGUAACGGCUUACCAAGGCGACGAUCAGUAGCCGGCUUGAGAGAGUGAACGGCCACAUUGGGACUGAGACACGGCCCAAACUCCUACGGGAGGCAGCAGUGGGGAAUAUUGCACAAUGGGGGAAACCCUGAUGCAGCGACGCCGCGUGAGUGAAGAAGUAUUUCGGUAUGUAAAGCUCUAUCAGCAGGGAAGAUAAUGACGGUACCUGACUAAGAAGCCCCGGCUAACUACGUG
Molecule: ribosomal RNA, 495 nt
Filed under: uncultured bacterium
Lineage: Bacteria
Description: partial 16S ribosomal RNA
Rfam family: Bacterial small subunit ribosomal RNA
Source: RNAcentral